GAAUUUAAAAGAUAAUUAAUAUUAUUUAUUUGAAUUGUUUUAAUUAAAAUAUUAAAUAUUUUAUUAAUUUUUAAUGAAAAGAUUUUAUUUAUGAUAGUUAAAAGUACUGAGAAGGAAAUUUUUAAAUAUUAAAAAGAAGAAUUAAAUUUUUGUACCCUUGUGUAUCAGGGUUAAUUAAAUAAUAAUUUUUUAAUUAAAUAUUCUCGAAUUUAAAAGAGCUAAUUAAUUAUAAAUUUUAUUGUAAAAUAAAUAUUUAAAAUAAUUAAUUAGAAAUGAAACGUUAUUCGUUUUUAAAUAUAUCUAGUUUUUAAAGAAAUGAAUUUAAUUCAUUUAUUAAUAAUUAAAAUUUUAAGUUUUUAAUUUUUUAUUGUUAAUAAGAAAUUUUUUAAGGGAUAAGCUUUAAAAAAUAUUUUUAUAAUAAAUUAAUAGUUUAAUAAAUUGUAGGAUUAAAAAUUUCUAUAAAUAAAAAAUUGUUAUAAUUAAUUAUUAAGAUAAUAUUAUUUUUAUUUUAUUUAAAUAUUUUAUUUAAAUAUAAGUUUAAAUUAUAAAAAUUUAGAAUUAAUGAUUAAAUUAGUAUAAUUUUUUGUAUAGGUAAUUAUAUUAAUUAAGGUUGAUUUAAGGAAUUCGGCAAAAUAAUUUUUCACCUGUUUAAUAAAAACAUGUCCUUUUGAUUAUAAUUUAAGGUCUAAUCUGCCCCCUGAUAAUUUAAAUGGCCGCGGUAUUUUGACCGUGCAAAGGUAGCAUAAUAAUUAGUUUCUUAAUUAGGAGCUGGAAUGAAUGAUUGGAUGAGAAAAUAACUGUCUCAGAUUAAUUUAAUUAGAAUUUUAUUUUUAAGUUAAAAAGCUUAAAUAUAAUUAAAAGACGAGAAGACCCUAUAGAGUUUAAUUAAUUUAAAUAAUAUAGAUAUGUAGAUAUAAUUUUUUGUAUUAUUUAUUUUAAUUUUGUUGGGGUGAUAGAAAAAUUAAAAUAACUUUUUUUUUUAUAAAAACAUUGAUUAAUGACUUUUUGAUCCAAUAAUUAUUGAUUAAAAAGAUAAAUUACCUUAGGGAUUAA
This 1053-nucleotide ribosomal RNA is filed under the name Phlogistus leucocosmus. RNAcentral describes it as "partial 16S ribosomal RNA". The record is from RNAcentral. Lineage: Eukaryota; Metazoa; Arthropoda; Insecta; Coleoptera; Cleridae.